Oryzias melastigma (Indian medaka) is the source of this 1070-nucleotide RNA transcript. RefSeq lists it as uncharacterized. The transcript has 6 exons. The record is from RefSeq and is a predicted model, not a curated record. Lineage: Eukaryota; Metazoa; Chordata; Actinopteri; Beloniformes; Adrianichthyidae.
UCGUCCGAGUGUAUUUGAACGCAGCACAACAGCUGACUGCUGGAGUAGGGUAGGUGGACAGCUGAGCAGACUUUGGACAUCAGAGGAGGGAACCGACGCUGAGGUUUUCCAGAAGGACACCACGGCCUUCACAGUUCAGCUGAGAGGAAACGUCUGAUGCUUUAGUGAAAAGAUGAGAGAAGAUGGAGAAGAAGGUUGCUGGUAGAAAUGAGGAGGAAGGAGUUAAAGCAUGCUGACAUGAGAAGAGGGUGAGGUGGCCUGGGGGGAGGAGAAAAGAAAGAGCGGAGAAAGAGAGAAGCAGACGUGGAGGAGCGAUGCACUACUCUCUGUCUUGGAAUUUUACAUUUUGAUGAAGGAGGAAGCACGUCAGCCAAUCAGAGAGGCGGGAGCUGGAGCGGACCAUCGCGGCUCAGACAGCAGGGGGGUUCGGGGUCGGCUCGGCGGGCCGCCUGCCCGCCCUGCGGCUCGACGUCCCCGUGUCUCGUGGUGGCAGGUGGUACGACCCAGCGGGCAGGAUAAAAGCCCCCUCCUCUGGCUGUGGUCCCCCCCACCACCACCCCCCGUUCUGACAGUGUUAGGGUGUAGCUACAGAUGCUGUACUACAGCAGAAGACAGUGAGAGGAGUGGAAGGGAGGAGGGACAAACCGGGCUCAUUCCCACAACGACCAGCUCCAGGGGGGCCGCCAGCACCCGCUCCUCUGCUUCACCAGUCAUCCCACCCACCCAUCCAGCUGGCGGGGCCACCUGCAGGAGUCAUCAGGAUGCAGAGCUGAGUCUGUGCCCCCCGGGGAGGGCUCGCCCAAGUGGAAUGCUCUGGUUCUCCCUCCGUCAGAGCGCCAUCUGCUGACUCGGUGCGGAGGGACAGCUGGUGUUGUGAAUCAGGCCGCCACAGUCCAGGGACCGGCUACUUCCCAACACCAGGGUCUCAUCGCCGCCGCUCACGCCGCAGACCUCACAGGGUCUGAUGACAUUCCCAGCUUUGGUUCCUGAUGCUCCGGCUCUGAUGUAGAUGAUAAAACAUCCUAAAUAAAUGUGCUUUUGUUUUGAAUAAAACUCAAAUAGAUAUAUCA